GAUGAGCGCUGGCGGCGUGCCUAAUACAUGCAAGUCGAGCGAACAGACGAGGAGCUUGCUCCUCUGACGUUAGCGGCGGACGGGUGAGUAACACGUGGAUAACCUACCUAUAAGACUGGGAUAACUUCGGGAAACCGGAGCUAAUACCGGAUAAUAUAUUGAACCGCAUGGUUCAAUAGUGAAAGACGGUUUUGCUGUCACUUAUAGAUGGAUCCGCGCCGCAUUAGCUAGUUGGUAAGGUAACGGCUUACCAAGGCAACGAUGCGUAGCCGACCUGAGAGGGUGAUCGGCCACACUGGAACUGAGACACGGUCCAGACUCCUACGGGAGGCAGCAGUAGGGAAUCUUCCGCAAUGGGCGAAAGCCUGACGGAGCAACGCCGCGUGAGUGAUGAAGGUCUUCGGAUCGUAAAACUCUGUUAUUAUGGAAGAACAAAUGUGUAAGUAACUAUGCACGUCUUGACGGUACCUAAUCAGAAAGCCACGGCUAACUACGUG
This 497-nucleotide ribosomal RNA is filed under the name uncultured bacterium. RNAcentral's name for it is "partial 16S ribosomal RNA". It matches the Rfam family "Bacterial small subunit ribosomal RNA", at positions 28 to 507 of the family's 1533-position model. The record is from RNAcentral.